RNAcentral lists this ribosomal RNA (515 nucleotides) under Klebsiella pneumoniae. RNAcentral describes it as "partial 23S ribosomal RNA". It matches the Rfam family "Bacterial large subunit ribosomal RNA", at positions 1 to 546 of the family's 2925-position model. Lineage: Bacteria; Pseudomonadati; Pseudomonadota; Gammaproteobacteria; Enterobacterales; Enterobacteriaceae. The record is from RNAcentral.
GGGUUGUGAGGUUAAGCGACUAAGCGUACACGGUGGAUGCCCUGGCAGUCAGAGGCGAUGAAGGACGUGCUAAUCUGCGAAAAGCGUCGGUAAGGUGAUAUGAACCGUUAUAGCCGGCGAUGUCCGAAUGGGGAAACCCAGUGCAAUUCGUUGCACUAUCGUUAACUGAAUACAUAGGUUAACGAGGCGAACCGGGGGAACUGAAACAUCUAAGUACCCCGAGGAAAAGAAAUCAACCGAGAUUCCCCCAGUAGCGGCGAGCGAACGGGGAGCAGCCCAGAGUCUGAAUCAGCUUGUGUGUUAGUGGAACGGUCUGGAAAGUCCGACGGUACAGGGUGAUAGUCCCGUACACCAAAAUGCACAGGCUGUGAACUCGAAGAGUAGGGCGGGACACGUGGUAUCCUGUCUGAAUAUGGGGGGACCAUCCUCCAAGGCUAAAUACUCCUGACUGACCGAUAGUGAACCAGUACCGUGAGGGAAAGGCGAAAAGAACCCCGGCGAGGGGAGUGAAAAAG